This 117-nucleotide signal recognition particle RNA is filed under the name Macaca nemestrina (pig-tailed macaque). RNAcentral's name for it is "Metazoan signal recognition particle RNA". It matches the Rfam family "Metazoan signal recognition particle RNA". From Rfam's summary of the family: The signal recognition particle (SRP) is a universally conserved ribonucleoprotein. RNAcentral also lists the same sequence under 1 other name. Lineage: Eukaryota; Metazoa; Chordata; Mammalia; Primates; Cercopithecidae. The record is from Rfam by way of RNAcentral.
GCCGGGCAUGGUGGCUCAUGCCUGUAAUCCCAGCACUUUGGGAGGCUGAGGUGGGUGGAUCACCUGAGGUCAGGAGUUCGAGACCAGCCUGACCAACAUGGUGAAACCCCGUCUCUA